UACGGAGGAUGCAAGCGUUAUCCGGAUUUAUUGGGUUUAAAGGGUGCGCAGGUUGUUUGAUAAGUCAGUGGUGAAAGUCUGUCGCUUAACGGUAGGAUUGCCAUUGAUACUGUUAGACUUGAAUAUGGAUGAGGUAGGCGGAAUGUGUAGUGUAGCGGUGAAAUGCAUAGAUAUUACACAGAACACCGAUUGUGAAGGCAGCUUACUAAUCCAUCAUUGACGCUGAGGCACGAAAGCGUGGGGAUCAAA
RNAcentral lists this ribosomal RNA (249 nucleotides) under uncultured prokaryote. Its description in RNAcentral is "partial 16S ribosomal RNA". It matches the Rfam family "Bacterial small subunit ribosomal RNA", at positions 524 to 772 of the family's 1533-position model. The record is from RNAcentral.